GGGGAAUAUUGCACAAUGGGCGGAAGCCUGAUGCAGCGACGCCGCGUGGGGGAUGACGGCCUUCGGGUUGUAAACCUCUUUCGCCCACGACGAAGCCGCAAGGUGACGGUAGUGGGAUAAGAAGCACCGGCUAACUACGUGCCAGCAGCCGCGGUAAUACGUAGGGUGCGAGCGUUGUCCGGAAUUACUGGGCGUAAAGAGCUCGUAGGUGGUUUGUCACGUCGUCUGUGAAAUUCCGGGGCUUAACCUCGGGCGUGCAGGCGAUACGGGCAAUACUUGAGUGCUGUAGGGGAGACUGGAAUUCCUGGUGUAGCGGUGAAAUGCGCAGAUAUCAGGAGGAACACCGAUGGCGAAGGCAGGUCUCUGGGCAGUAACUGACGCUGAGGAGCGAAAGCAUGGGUAGCGAAC
RNAcentral lists this ribosomal RNA (408 nucleotides) under uncultured bacterium. RNAcentral's name for it is "bacterial SSU rRNA". It matches the Rfam family "Bacterial small subunit ribosomal RNA", at positions 356 to 773 of the family's 1533-position model. The record is from RNAcentral.